This 253-nucleotide ribosomal RNA is filed under the name uncultured bacterium. Its description in RNAcentral is "partial 16S ribosomal RNA". It matches the Rfam family "Bacterial small subunit ribosomal RNA", at positions 524 to 776 of the family's 1533-position model. The record is from RNAcentral.
UACGUAGGGGGCAAGCGUUGUCCGGAUUCAUUGGGCGUAAAGAGCGUGUAGGCGGCCAGGUAGGUCGGUUGUGAAAACUGGAGGCUCAACCUCCAGACGUCGACGGAAACCGCGUGGCUAGAGUCCGGAAGAGGAGAGUGGAAUUCCUGGUGUAGCGGUGAAAUGCGCAGAUAUCAGGAAGAACACCAAUGGCGAAGGCAGCUCUCUGGGACGGUACUGACGCUGAGACGCGAAAGCGUGGGGAGCGAACAGG